This 193-nucleotide ribosomal RNA is filed under the name uncultured bacterium. RNAcentral describes it as "partial 16S ribosomal RNA". It matches the Rfam family "Bacterial small subunit ribosomal RNA", at positions 328 to 538 of the family's 1533-position model. The record is from RNAcentral.
ACGCUCGACACCUACUGGAGGCAGCAGUGGGGAAUAUUGCACAAUGGAGGAAACUCUGAUGCAGCGAUGCCGCGUGAGGGAAGAAGGUUUUCGGAUUGUAAACCUCUGUCUUUGGGGACGAUAAUGACGGUACCCAAGGAGGAAGCUCCGGCUAACUACGUGCCAGNCGCGGAGUAUGNGCGGCGNGNGAGAG